CAGCAUGCAGUACAGGACGUGAUCCACCGGGUGGCGCUGUUACUCCGCUUCGGCGCGCCGCUCCCGACCUGCCACUCCUUUUCUCUCAGGCGCAGCAUCCAUCUCACACACGGGUUUCACAUGAACAGCGAUGUCCUUUCAAUUCUUCUGCGCAUUCCUGGGCCGGUUGUGCGACAUCCUUCAUAGCAGGGUCGGACUUUGCAAACUCCUCUUAAAAAGUUUUCAGAAUCCUUAGAAAAAAAACGACCCCAUUCCCCUCGUCGAGCCCAACCAACACAACUGUACAGCGGCCUGUGAGUCUUUUACUCAUUUUUGUCCUCUUUCCCAAUGCAUUCAGCCCUUCUGAAUGUCCUGUCGCCCCUUCUUACCUUCUCCCCUCCACCUCCCCCUCUUUUCAUUACUGUCCCAUUCAUUCAUUUAUUCUUGUUCUUUUCCACUGCUUCGGCCACGCCAGCGAAUGCAUUCAUCUCCCUGCCUGCCUGGUCUAUCAGAGGACGACACACUCCUUUAUCUCAUCGAGCAUCUGGUAAUGGAAGGUCACAUUCGGAGGACGCACUCAUCAGUGGGCCGCUAGUUUUCUGCUGCUCUUCUGGUUUCCGAUGAAAAGGGCGAUGAAAGGGCGGAGGAACGGAGUGUCGCGCUUCCUCGACUGCCAGCAGAGGAAACGCUGCUUGAGCAGGGGUGUGGGAACGCCAAAGCCAGCAGCCAGGGGCUCAGCGGGGCGCCGAAGGCCUCCUUGGCAGGAUGCAAGCAAAGGGGAUUGUGGGAAAUUACACGGGAUUACAGCGGGCGUCUAAUGCCCUGAUCCAGCGGGACAUUUUCAUCAAGAAACAGCGCUGUCGGACAGCCGCAAAG
Long non-coding RNA from Gasterosteus aculeatus aculeatus (three-spined stickleback), 855 nucleotides. NCBI's taxonomy places the organism in Eukaryota, Metazoa, Chordata, Actinopteri, Perciformes, Gasterosteidae. The record is from Ensembl.